UUUAUUUUUCUUUUUACUUAAACCCCCGAUUGUGUAAAAUUUGCCCUACACACUCAUUUACCAAAUCUGAUUUCGCUCGAUCGUGAUUUGGAGAAUCCAAGAGAUCGUGAUUUCUCUCGCUCGCUCUUCUCUCCAUUCACUUGUUAUUUUACGAAGCACAGAGGAAAAUCCAAGAGAGAGAAAGAGAUUGAGGCCAUAUGAUUUGGAUCUCUUUUGAUCUGAAUCGGUUUUAGGUCUUCGUGAUCUGGAUAGUCUGAUGCAAUUGCUCUGCCCUAGUUCGUUAGAUGAUCUGAUUUAAUCUAAUCUAAUGCUAUUGUUAUGUUCGAUUAGAGCUUGGAUUUCAGAAAUGGAGCAACGACCAAGGGCAAUGAACAGGUUUGCAGACUUUGAGUUCAAGUUAUAAUUUUUGCGGUAAACAUUCAAUCGAAAUUCAAACUGAAACCCUAGCAUCUUUUGCACAUUCAGCAGGGCCAAACUAGUGUUGCCACCAUUUCUUUUGCAAGAAUGUGAUUAUUUCGAUAGACAGAAGAUGAAGAUGAAGUUAAAAAAAAAUUAUGCAUGGAGAGCAAUAUAAGUUUCUUAAUAAAAACCUUGAAAAAUGAUGAGCUGAAACUUGAUGAGGAGAAUGAUGAGAAGGAGAUUGACAGGAAGAAAAAGGAUGAGCUUCAUGUUAAGGAGAAAGAUGAGAAGGGGAAGAAUGAUGAAGAGGAGAUGGUUGGGAGAAGGAGAUGGAUGAAGAGGAGCUUGUUGAAAGAAGAAGCAAGAGUCCAAUAAACCAUCAUUUCCACCAUUCCAGAGUUCGAUAGUGGUGGCGGUGGCGGAAUGACGGUUGAUGGUGGAGAGUGCCGUGGUAUUGUUGGUGGUAUGACUACAUCAAGUUUCCAAUUAAGGUUGUUAUGCUUUCCGUCUAUAGCAUCUAUUUUUUGACUCAGGUUGUCAAGCUUUCCAUCUUUUUUUUUUCUUUUUUUUUUUGGUUAUAGAAAAAUCUCAUUGAAACAUGUUUAAUUUAAGGUUUCAAUCAAAAAAUCUCAUUGAAGAAUUGUCAAUUUUAUUGAAGUUUUGUUUAAUUUCUUGUCUAGGUUUAUGUUUAUUUCAGUGUUUAUAACUCUGUUUAUAUUAAUAAAACAUGUUUAUAUUAGUUAAACUCUUGUCUAUCUUUGGGUUUAAACUCUGGUCUAUCUUUAAGUUUGAAGUUUUUUUUUUUAAUUUUUUUUUUAUUUUGUUUGAUAAUUUUAAAUUAAAGUAAAAUUAUAAUAAAAAAAACAUAAAAUAAAAUAUGAUGAGAAAAUUGCAUUGUCGGUCUAUAAAAUCAAUUUGAUGAAAUCCGGACGAGAAAGAAACAAAACACCCGUGAAGGAAGAGGAAUGGGACAUGCUUCUCCACUCGAUGUCGGAGCAGAUAUUGACUUCUUAAAUAAUAUUUUUUAUUUAUACAUAUGUAGACUUACGCAUAAAUAAUUUAAUUAAAAAUGAUAAAAUAUAGCAUGACAAUUUUGUUUAAUUUGUGUAUUACUUUAGAUCAAUGCUAGUUUGAUAAUAAAUAAAUAAAUAUAAUGUCAAUUUUGAUAUCCUUAUAAUAGUAUUUUGAAAAUAUAAGAUUAUAGAGUUUCUUGUAAGCACCAUA
Non-coding RNA from Camellia sinensis, 1623 nucleotides. The record is from RefSeq and is a predicted model, not a curated record. Lineage: Eukaryota; Viridiplantae; Streptophyta; Magnoliopsida; Ericales; Theaceae.